GAUGAACGCUGGCGGCGUGCCUAACACAUGCAAGUCGAACGGGAGGGCGGACGGGUGAGUAACACGUGGGCAACCUGGCUCAUAGAGGGGGAUAACAGAGAGAAAUUUCUGCUAAUACCGCAUACUAUGAGAUGGACCCGCGUCUGAUUAGCCAGUUGGCAGGGUAAGAGCCUACCAAAGCGACGAUCAGUAGCCGAUCUGAGAGGAUGAACGGCCACAUUGGGACUGAGACACGGCCCAAACUCCUACGGGAGGCAGCAGUGGGGGAUAUUGCACAAUGGGGGGAACCCUGAUGCAGCGACGCCGCGUGAGUGAAGAAGUAUUUCGGUAUGUAAAGCUCUAUCAGCAGGGAAGCAGUACCUGAAUAAGAAGCCCCGGCUAACUACGUGCCAGCAGCCGCGGUAAUUC
RNAcentral lists this ribosomal RNA (408 nucleotides) under uncultured bacterium. Its description in RNAcentral is "partial 16S ribosomal RNA". It matches the Rfam family "Bacterial small subunit ribosomal RNA", at positions 28 to 526 of the family's 1533-position model. The record is from RNAcentral.